GACGAACGCUGGCGGCGUGCUUAACACAUGCAAGUCGAACGGAAAGGCCCUGCUUUUGUGGGGUGCUCGAGUGGCGAACGGGUGAGUAACACGUGAGUAACCUGCCCUUGACUUUGGGAUAACUUCAGGAAACUGGGGCUAAUACCGGAUAGGAGCUCCUGCUGCAUGGUGGGGGUUGGAAAGUUUCGGCGGUUGGGGAUGGACUCGUGGCUUAUCAGCUUGUUGGUGGGGUAGUGGCUUACCAAGGCUUUGACGGGUAGCCGGCCUGAGAGGAUGACCGGCCUCAUGGGGACUGAGAUACGGCACAGACUCCUACGGGAGGCAGCAGUGGGGAAUAUUGCGCAAUGGGCGGAAGCGUGAUGCAGCAACGCCGCGUGCGGGAUGAAGGCGUUCGGGUUGUAAACCGCUUUCGCCUGGGACGAAGCGUGAGUGACAGUAAUGGGUAAAGAAGCACCGGCUGACUACGUG
Molecule: ribosomal RNA, 468 nt
Filed under: uncultured bacterium
Lineage: Bacteria
Description: partial 16S ribosomal RNA
Rfam family: Bacterial small subunit ribosomal RNA
Source: RNAcentral